RNA transcript from Homo sapiens (human), 2334 nucleotides. It is a transcript of the gene named BCR pseudogene 2, with no coding region annotated. The transcript is spliced from 6 exons. Lineage: Eukaryota; Metazoa; Chordata; Mammalia; Primates; Hominidae. The record is from RefSeq and is marked validated.
GUUCUCCCCGCAGGUGCUGCAUGGAGUGAGUGGCGGCAUCCACCGUGAGGAGGAGAGGAGCUCUGAUACCCUCAGGACCCGCCAGGAGGGGCAUCACGGAGGCUUCUGGACGACUUGGAGCUGUGUCCUGGGGAGAAAACCGCUCCUGUCUGGGCCCUGAGUGCUGAGGAGGAAGCUGCCAUGCACUUUUCCCUGGCAUUUUUCCUGCAUGGAGAGAGAGGUCCAAGGUGCCCUACAUCGUGCGUCAGUGCGUGGAGGAGAUCGAGCGCCGAGGCAUGGAGGAGAUAACAAGGACGUGUCAGUGAUGAUGAGCGAGAUGGACGUGAACGCCAUCGCAGGCAUGCUGAAGCUGUACUUCCGUGAGCUGCCCGAGCCCCUCUUCACUGACGAGUUCUACCCCAACUUCGCAGAGGGCAUCGGUGCCCCUCACAGGGUCCUCACUGGCGGCCAGCGCUGUGGGUGUGACGAUGAUGACAAGCCUAAACUGCGCAAGGACUCGUGUCCCUGGCGCUCCAUGUGACCACCUCGGGAGAGGUCUCCGGCUUGUCGUAACCCAGGGGAGUGACCCACUGCCUCCUGCAGCUCUUUCAGACCCAGUUGCAAAGAAGAGCUGCAUGCUCAACCUGCUGUCGUCCCUGCCGGAGGCCAACCUGCUCACCUUCCUUUUCCUUCUAGACCACCUGGAAAGGAUGGCAGAGAAGGAGGCAGUCAAUAAGAUGUCCCUGCACAACCUUGGCACGGUGUUUGGCCCCACGCUGCUCCGGCCCUCCGAGAAGGAGAGCAAGCUCCCUGCCAACCCCAGCCAGCCCAUCACCAUGACUGACAGCUGGUCCUUGGAGGUCAUGUCCCAGAUCCAGAUACCUAAUAAGAUGCUGGAAUGUAAUCCCUGGACAAUCCGUGUCCUGGCAGCAUUUGGUCUUCCUCUAAGCGCCUGGCUCCGCUGUUCUCAGGAGUGGGUUCUGAAGUCUCUGGAGAACAGGAUACGUGGAGGGUUAGGAAGGGGCCAGGCCUAGAGACGGGAGACUCCCUCCCGGAGCAGGUGGAGGCACAGGACCAUUCGCUACCCCAUCUGCCGGCACCUGCGGGGGAGCCCAGGCAUUGUUUGUAAACCCUCCUGACUACCUGACUCAAAGAAAACAGAAGCAUGGAGGCCGCCAAGUAUUUUCAAGAAAUAAUCCCAUGAACGUGGCAUCACUUUUUUAGAAAGAGGGGCUUGGGGCAGGCAGAGGAGAGAAGGGAGAGCAAACUGAGAGCCAAGUUUCCAGACGGUCCUGCAGGAGGAGAGGAUGCAGCUGCGCAGAGGGAAGCAGGAUCACAUUUAAGGAAGUGUGUGGGGUCCCUGGAUGACACCAGCACCCAGUACGGCUCUGUCUGGCAACCGCUCCCAAGGUGGCAGGAGUGGGUGUCCCCUGUGUGUCAGUGGGCAGCUCCUGCUGAGCCCGCAGCUCACUGGGGAGCCUGACAGCGGGGCCAUGUGCCUGACACUCCUCUCUGCUUGUGGACCUGGCAAGGCAGGGAGCAGAAAACAGAGCCACUUGAAGGCUUUCUGUCUGCGUCUGUGUGCAGUGUGGAUUUAGUUGUGCUUUUUUCUUGCUGGGAGAGCACAGCCACCAUUUACAAGCAGUGUCACCCUCGUGGGUGGCGAGGACAGAACAGGAGCCUCUGCUCUCUGUACCUAUCUGGGCCCGGUGGGCUCCCUUGUCCUGGCUUCCAUCUCUGUCUCAGCAACCAUUCAGCCCUGCGCAGGAACACGUGUUGCUUAGAAAAGCCAAAUCCAGCCUUGUCUCUGCCUCCUCUGGUCUCAUGAUGUGCAUCUGUUACCUUGAAACUGGAAACCAGUCUAUCAAUGUCUGUGCCAAUUUUUUAUUCCCUCCCCAACCUCCUUCCCCAUACGACUUUUUAUUUAUGUAGGAUGUGUGCUGUCUAAUGAUGGGAUGACCACACUUUUCCAUGUUCUAAAAGUGCUCCUCUCCCGCAGGGUCCCAGGGCUGGUGGUUGCUUUGGGUCUACAGCUACGUCUUACCCGCCUCCUGCCUCAACAGCCUGUGUGGUGGCAAAGCCGGUGUGGGGCUGGGGAACGCAGCGUUCUCCAGGAGGGGGACCCGGCUCUCCUUCUGCAAUGCAGGCGAAGGCCUAGAUGCCAGUGUGACCUCCCACAAGGCGUGGCUUCCAGACUCCCCGGCCGGAAGUGAUGCUUUUUUGCCGUGGGCCCUGGGUUUGAAGCAGCCUGGCUUUCUCUUGGUAAGUGGCUGGUGUCUUAGCAGCUGCAAUCUGAGCUCAGCCACCUACACACCACCGUGGCCGACACUUUCAUUAAGAAGUUUCCUGAGACGA